Molecule: long non-coding RNA, 484 nt
Organism: Ceratina calcarata
Lineage: Eukaryota; Metazoa; Arthropoda; Insecta; Hymenoptera; Apidae
Exons: 2
Source: RefSeq, a predicted model, not a curated record
UGUAGUGACGUUAUAACUUUCUCGCUGCGCACAAUAUCGUAUCUGUUCGCGUUCGGCCUUGAAUGGAAAAAAGGUGUAUACUUUCACGUCCUAUAAGUAGCGGUGAGCGCUCUCCGUAUGGAACACAUCGUCGGAGCAGUGCACCGCAUCGACAAAAAAUACAAAAAAUCUCACCCGCUCCAACAUAACUGGACUUCCUGCCCGGAUACUUAUCACUAGGACCUACGGGCAGGAGUCAGAUUUUAGACUCUAAGGCGUUUUUCCACUACCGAUAUGUGUUGGUGCCAUUUCUCUUUCUCGCUUCUUGAUGCGGAGGAUCGUCUCCACGUAGGAGGCGAUUUUUAAUUUGUUAGGAGGGAUCGUUAUGAUGGAAAUAGAAGUAACAUGCUUACACUCAACAGCAUUGGAAUUUAUUUUCAUCAACGCUGAACAAUAUUCAGUUGUACAUAUUCAUUGGGAAUAAAAAUCACAUAUAAAAUUUAAA